Molecule: ribosomal RNA, 505 nt
Filed under: uncultured bacterium
Lineage: Bacteria
Description: partial 16S ribosomal RNA
Rfam family: Bacterial small subunit ribosomal RNA
Source: RNAcentral
GACGAACGCUGGCGGCGUGCCUAAUACAUGCAAGUAGAACGCACAGUUUAUACCGUAGCUUGCUACACCAUAGACUGUGAGUUGCGAACGGGUGAGUAACGCGUAGGUAACCUGCCUGGUAGCGGGGGAUAACUAUUGGAAACGAUAGCUAAUACCGCAUAAUAUUGAUUAUUGCAUGAUAAUUGAUUGAAAGAUGCUAUUGCAUCACUACCAGAUGGACCUGCGUUGUAUUAGCUAGUAGGUGAGGUAACGGCUCACCUAGGCGACGAUACAUAGCCGACCUGAGAGGGUGAUCGGCCACACUGGGACUGAGACACGGCCCAGACUCCUACGGGAGGCAGCAGUAGGGAAUCUUCGGCAAUGGACGAAAGUCUGACCGAGCAACGCCGCGUGAGUGAAGAAGGUUUUCGGAUCGUAAAGCUCUGUUGUAAGAGAAGAACGUGUGUGAGAGUGGAAAGUUCACACUGUGACGGUAUCUUACCAGAAAGGGACGGCUAACUACGUG